AAGAGAGCUUGCUCUCUGGGUGACGAGCGGCGGACGGGUGAGUAAUGUCUGGGAAACUGCCUGAUGGAGGGGGAUAACUACUGGAAACGGUAGCUAAUACCGCAUAACGUCUUCGGACCAAAGUGGGGGACCUUCGGGCCUCACGCCAUCAGAUGUGCCCAGAUGGGAUUAGCUAGUAGGUGGGGUAAUGGCUCACCUAGGCGACGAUCCCUAGCUGGUCUGAGAGGAUGACCAGCCACACUGGAACUGAGACACGGUCCAGACUCCUACGGGAGGCAGUAGUGGGGAAUAUUGCACAAUGGGCGCAAGCCUGAUGCAGCCAUGCCGCGUGUGUGAAGAAGGCCUUCGGGUUGUAAAGCACUUUCAGCGAGGAGGAAGGGUGGUGUGUUAAUAGCGCAUCACAUUGACGUUACUCGCAGAAGAAGCACCGGCUAACUCCGUGCCAGCAGCCGCGGUAAUACGGAGGGUGCAAGCGUUAAUCGGAAUUACUGGGCGUAAAGCGCACGCAGGCGGUUUGUUAAGUCAGAUGUGAAAUCCCCGCGCUUAACGUGGGAACUGCAUUUGAAACUGGCAAGCUAGAGUCUUGUAGAGGGGGGUAGAAUUCCAGGUGUAGCGGUGAAAUGCGUAGAGAUCUGGAGGAAUACCGGUGGCGA
Molecule: ribosomal RNA, 653 nt
Filed under: uncultured bacterium
Lineage: Bacteria
Description: bacterial SSU rRNA
Rfam family: Bacterial small subunit ribosomal RNA
Source: RNAcentral